Molecule: ribosomal RNA, 301 nt
Filed under: uncultured bacterium
Lineage: Bacteria
Description: partial 16S ribosomal RNA
Rfam family: Bacterial small subunit ribosomal RNA
Source: RNAcentral
CAGCCGCCGCGGUAAUACGGAGGAUCCAAGCGUUAUCCGGAAUCAUUGGGUUUAAAGGGUCCGUAGGCGGUCUUGUAAGUCAGUGGUGAAAGCCCAUCGCUCAACGGUGGAACGGCCAUUGAUACUGCAGGACUUGAAUUAUUGGGAAGUAACUAGAAUAUGUAGUGUAGCGGUGAAAUGCUUAGAGAUUACAUGGAAUACCAAUUGCGAAGGCAGGUUACUACCAAUUGAUUGACGCUGAUGGACGAAAGCGUGGGUAGCGAACAGGAUUAGAUACCCCAGUAGUCCCUGUCUCUUAUAC